AAAAACUUCGGUAAAACGAAGUGAAGGUCCGAACCGGUCAACCUUGAGAAGUUGUCGGAUGAAUUGUGGUUAGGAGCGAAAGACUAAUCAAACCCUGUGAUAGCUGGUUCUUUCCGAAAUAUAUUUGGGUAUAGCCUCGGAUGCUGAUUUGUGGAGGUAGAGCACUAAAUAAGCUAGGGCCCCUACCGGGGUACUGAACUUAAUUAAACUCCGAAUACCACAGAGUGAAGUCCGGGAGUCAGACUGUGGGGGAUAACCUUCAUAGUCGAGAGGAGAAUAAUCCAUACCAUCAGUUAAGGUCCCAAAAUAUGGCUCAGUGAAAAAGGAUGUGAUUUUGCUUAGACAAUGGGGAUGUUGGCUUAGAGGCAGCCAUCAUUUAAACAGUGCGUAACAGCUGACCCAUCGAGCGAAAUUGCGCCGAAAAUGAUCGGGACUUAAGCCAUAUACCGAAGCUAUGGGUGCACCGCAAGGUGCGCAGUAGGAAAGCGUCCCAAGUGCAGCGAAGUGGAAGGGGUAACCGACCAUGGAGCGCUUGGGAGUGAGAAUGCAGACAUAAGUAACGAUAAAGAUGGUUAAAUUCCAUCUCGCCGAAAUCCCAAGGAUUCCUGGGGAAGGUUCGUCCUCCCAGGGUUAGUCGGGUGCUAAGAUGAGGCCGUAAGGAGUAGUCGAUGCCAAUCUGGUUUAAUAUUCCAGAACCACUUUACUUGCGUUCGAUCUAUGGAGUGACGGAGAAAGUUAACGUGGCAACGCGUUGAAUCGUUGUCCAAGCUUGUCGGCUGCCCGGGGAUAAAAGACUGGGUAAGGCUUAAGAGCGACGGGACCCUGAGGCCACGGCUGAUGGGGAUCGCGUGAUACUACGCUUCCAAGAAAAGCUUCGUAGUUAGCAAGUGGAGUGCCCGUACCGUAAACCGACACAGGUGGGAAAGAUGAGUAUUCUAAGGCGCGCAGGUUAAUUCUCUCUAAGGAACUCGGCAAAUUAGCCCCGUAUCUUCGGUAGAAGGGGUGCCCCGCAAGGGGCCGCAGUUAAUUGCGUCAACCGACUGUUUAGCAAAAACACAGCACUCUGCUAAGUCGCAAGACGACGUAUAGGGUGUGACACGUGACCAAUGCGGAAAGGUGAAAGUCUAGGGUGCAAGCUCUGGAUCUAAGCCCCCGUGAAUGUCGGCCGUAACUAUAACGGUCCUAAGGUAGCGAAAUUCCUUGUCGGGUAAGUUCCGACCCGCACGAAUCGUGUAACGAGUUGACGACUGUCUCGGAGAGAGGCCUGGUGAAAUUGUAGUGGCGGUGAAGAUGCCGCCUACCCGCAGCAGGACGGAAAGACCCUAUGCACCUUUACUGUAAGCUGUUAUUGUCGCUUGAUUUUUAAUACGUAGAAUAGGUGGGAGACUUCGAAGCCCGGUCUCAGGAUCGGGCUGAGUCACAACGUGAAAUACCACUUUUUAAUUGUUAGGCGUCUAACCUCAUACCAUUAACUGGUUGUGGGACAGUGAUAGCAGGUCAGUUUUUCUGGGGCGGAAUCCUCCCAAAGAGUAACGGAGGAUUACGAAGGUUCCCUCG
This 1557-nucleotide ribosomal RNA is filed under the name metagenome. RNAcentral's name for it is "bacterial LSU rRNA". It matches the Rfam family "Bacterial large subunit ribosomal RNA", at positions 746 to 2324 of the family's 2925-position model. The record is from RNAcentral.